This 56-nucleotide transfer RNA is filed under the name Acidimicrobiaceae bacterium. RNAcentral's name for it is "tRNA-Leu". It matches the Rfam family "tRNA", at positions 20 to 71 of the family's 71-position model. Rfam says of the family: Transfer RNA (tRNA) molecules are approximately 80 nucleotides in length. The record is from RNAcentral. Lineage: Bacteria; Bacillati; Actinomycetota; Acidimicrobiia; Acidimicrobiales; Acidimicrobiaceae.
AGCUCGUCGGGCUCAUAACCCGAAGGUCGUUGGUUCAAAUCCAACCCCCGCCACCA